This 440-nucleotide ribosomal RNA is filed under the name uncultured bacterium. RNAcentral describes it as "partial 16S ribosomal RNA". It matches the Rfam family "Bacterial small subunit ribosomal RNA", at positions 338 to 795 of the family's 1533-position model. The record is from RNAcentral.
CCUACGGGCGGCAGCAGUAGGGAAUAUUGCUCAAUGGGGGAAACCCUGAAGCAGCAACGCCGCGUGGAGGAUGAAGGUUUUCGGAUUGUAAACUCCUUUUGUUAGAGAAGAUACUCACGGUGUGUGACGAAUACUCACCGGCUAACUCCGUGCCAGCAGCCGCGGUAAUACGAGGGGUGCAAGCGUUACUCGGAAUCACUGGGUAUAAAGCGCGCGUAGGCGGGAUAGCAAGUCAGAUGUGAAAUCCUAGGGCUUAACCAUAGAACUGCAUUUGAAACUGUUAUUCUAGAGUAUGGGAGAGGUAGGUGGAAUUCUUGGUGUAGGGGUAAAAUCCGUAGAGAUCAAGAGGAAUACUCAUUGCGAAGGCGACCUGCUAGAACAUAACUGACGUUGAUGCGCGAAAGCGUGGGGAGCAAACAGGAUUAGAUACCCUAGUAGUC